GUGGAUGGCUUAGUGGUCAGAGCAUCUGCUUAGUAAGCAGGAGUCCCAGGUUCAAUUCCCGGUUCAACUG
Non-coding RNA from Schistocerca serialis cubense, 70 nucleotides. Lineage: Eukaryota; Metazoa; Arthropoda; Insecta; Orthoptera; Acrididae. The record is from the annotation of a RefSeq genome assembly.